RNAcentral lists this transfer RNA (71 nucleotides) under Aegotheles bennettii. RNAcentral describes it as "tRNA-Glu". It matches the Rfam family "tRNA". Rfam says of the family: Transfer RNA (tRNA) molecules are approximately 80 nucleotides in length. Their secondary structure includes four short double-helical elements and three loops (D, anti-codon, and T loops). Further hydrogen bonds mediate the characteristic L-shaped molecular structure. tRNAs have two regions of fundamental functional importance: the anti-codon, which is responsible for specific mRNA codon recognition, and the 3' end, to which the tRNAs corresponding amino acid is attached (by aminoacyl-tRNA synthetases). tRNAs cope with the degeneracy of the genetic code in two manners: having more than one tRNA (with a specific anti-codon) for a particular amino acid; and 'wobble' base-pairing, i.e. permitting non-standard base-pairing at the 3rd anti-codon position. Lineage: Eukaryota; Metazoa; Chordata; Aves; Caprimulgiformes; Aegothelidae. The record is from RNAcentral.
GUUCCUGUAGUUGAAAUACACAGCGGCGGGUUUUCAGGCCGCAGGUCUUGGAAAAAAUCCAAGCAGGAAUA